This 253-nucleotide ribosomal RNA is filed under the name uncultured bacterium. RNAcentral describes it as "partial 16S ribosomal RNA". It matches the Rfam family "Bacterial small subunit ribosomal RNA", at positions 524 to 776 of the family's 1533-position model. The record is from RNAcentral.
UACAGAGGUCCCAAGCGUUGUUCGGAUUCACUGGGCGUAAAGGGUGCGUAGGCGGUCGGGUAAGUCUGGCGUGAAAUCUCCAAGCCUAGCUUGGAAACUGCGUUGGAUACUAUCCGGCUCGAGGAAUGGAGGGGAGACUGGAAUACUUGGUGUAGCAGUGAAAUGCGUAGAUAUCAAGUGGAACACCAGUGGCGAAGGCGAGUCUCUGGACAUUUCCUGACGCUGAGGCACGAAAGCCAGGGGAGCAAACGGG